UUGAAAUAAACAUGUGUGCUACAGCGGAUUGGUU
RNAcentral lists this small RNA (34 nucleotides) under Arabidopsis thaliana (thale cress). RNAcentral's name for it is "ATSL114860". Lineage: Eukaryota; Viridiplantae; Streptophyta; Magnoliopsida; Brassicales; Brassicaceae. The record is from RNAcentral.